RNAcentral lists this ribosomal RNA (480 nucleotides) under uncultured bacterium. RNAcentral describes it as "partial 16S ribosomal RNA". It matches the Rfam family "Bacterial small subunit ribosomal RNA", at positions 28 to 507 of the family's 1533-position model. The record is from RNAcentral.
GAUGAACGUUGGCGACGUGCCUAACACAUGCAAGUCGAGCGGAGAAGCAGAGAGUGCUCUUUUCGGAGUGAACUUUUUUCGGAUCAGCGGCGGACGGGUGAGUAAUACAUGAGGAACCUGCCCUCUACAAGGGGAUAGCCGGGUGAAACCGCGAUUAAUACCCUAUGAGACCACGAAAGCGCAUGCUUUUGAGUUUAACGAUUUAUCGGUAGAAGUUGGCCUCAUGACCCAUUAGCUAGUAGGUGAUUUAACAGACCUCCAAGGCGACGAAGGGUAGCCGGCAAGAGAGGAUGAACAGAGACAGUAGAGCUAAGAAACGGGCCAGACUCCUACGGGAGGGAGCAGUCGGGAGUAUUACACAAUGGGGGAGAGUCAGAUGAAGCGACGUGGCGUGAGCGAAGAAGGCGUUCGGGACCCAAAUCUCGGUAAUAUGGCGAGACAGGGACGGUACCAGAUAAAGAAGCCCCGGCUAACUACGUG